RNAcentral lists this ribosomal RNA (468 nucleotides) under uncultured bacterium. RNAcentral's name for it is "partial 16S ribosomal RNA". It matches the Rfam family "Bacterial small subunit ribosomal RNA", at positions 28 to 507 of the family's 1533-position model. The record is from RNAcentral.
GACGAACGCUGGCGGCGUGCUUAACACAUGCAAGUCGAACGGAAAGGCCCUGCUUUUGUGGGGUGCUCGAGGGGCGAACGGGUGAGUAACACGUGAGUAACCUGCCCUUGACUUUGGGAUAACUUCAGGAAACUGGGGCUAAUACCGGAUAGGAGCUCCUGCUGCAUGGUGGGGGUUGGAAAGUUUCGGCGGUUGGGGCUGGACUCGCGGCUUAUCAGCUUGUUGGUGGGGUAGUGGCUUACCAAGGCUUUGACGGGUAGCCGGCCUGAGAGGGUGACCGGCCACAUUGGGACUGAGAUACGGCCCAGACUCCUACGGGAGGCAGCAGUGGGGAAUAUUGCACAAUGGGCGGAAGCCUGAUGCAGCAACGCCGCGUGCGGGAUGACGGCCUUCGGGUUGUAAACCGCUUUCGCCUGUGACGAAGCGUGAGUGACGGUAAUGGGUAAAGAAGCACCGGCUAACUACGUG